RNAcentral lists this ribosomal RNA (462 nucleotides) under uncultured Clostridium sp. Its description in RNAcentral is "bacterial SSU rRNA". It matches the Rfam family "Bacterial small subunit ribosomal RNA", at positions 28 to 505 of the family's 1533-position model. The record is from RNAcentral. Lineage: Bacteria; Bacillati; Bacillota; Clostridia; Eubacteriales; Clostridiaceae.
GACGAACGCUGGCGGCGUGCCUAACACAUGCAAGUCGAGCGAUGAAGUUUUCUUCGGAAAACGGAUUAGCGGCGGACGGGUGAGUAACACGUGAGUAACCUGCCUCAAAGAGGGGGAUAGCCUUCCGAAAGGAAGAUUAAUACCGCAUAAUAUCAGAUGGUCGCAUGACCGAUUGAUUAAAGGAGAAAUCCGCUUUGAGAUGGACUCGCGGCGCAUUAGCUAGUUGGUGAGGUAACGGCUCACCAAGGCGACGAUGCGUAGCCGACCUGAGAGGGUGAUCGGCCACAUUGGGACUGAGACACGGCCCAGACUCCUACGGGAGGCAGCAGUGGGGAAUAUUGCGCAAUGGACGAAAGUCUGACGCAGCAACGCCGCGUGGGUGAUGAAGGUUUUCGGAUUGUAAAGCCCUGUCUUCGAGGACGAUAAUGACGGUACUCGAGGAGGAAGCCACGGCUAACUACG